This 86-nucleotide transfer RNA is filed under the name Pterocladia lucida. RNAcentral describes it as "tRNA-Arg". It matches the Rfam family "tRNA". From Rfam's summary of the family: Transfer RNA (tRNA) molecules are approximately 80 nucleotides in length. Their secondary structure includes four short double-helical elements and three loops (D, anti-codon, and T loops). Lineage: Eukaryota; Rhodophyta; Florideophyceae; Gelidiales; Pterocladiaceae. The record is from RNAcentral.
GCAUCUGUGGCCGAGAGGCCGAAGGCAGCGGACUCUAAUCCGCCAUUCCUAAAGGAACGUCGCUGGUUCGAAUCCAGCCAGAUGCA